RNAcentral lists this ribosomal RNA (1618 nucleotides) under Salmonella enterica subsp. enterica serovar Ajiobo. Its description in RNAcentral is "partial 23S ribosomal RNA". It matches the Rfam family "Bacterial large subunit ribosomal RNA", at positions 1139 to 2740 of the family's 2925-position model. The record is from RNAcentral. Lineage: Bacteria; Pseudomonadati; Pseudomonadota; Gammaproteobacteria; Enterobacterales; Enterobacteriaceae.
AGCUCACUGGUCGAGUCGGCCUGCGCGGAAGAUGUAACGGGGCUAAACCAUGCACCGAAGCUGCGGCAGCGACACUGUGUGUUGUUGGGUAGGGGAGCGUUCUGUAAGCCUGCGAAGGUGGCCUGUGAGGGUUGCUGGAGGUAUCAGAAGUGCGAAUGCUGACAUAAGUAACGAUAAAGCGGGUGAAAAGCCCGCUCGCCGGAAGACCAAGGGUUCCUGUCCAACGUUAAUCGGGGCAGGGUGAGUCGACCCCUAAGGCGAGGCCGAAAGGCGUAGUCGAUGGGAAACGGGUUAAUAUUCCCGUACUUGGUGUUACUGCGAAGGGGGGACGGAGAAGGCUAUGUUGGCCGGGCGACGGUUGUCCCGGUUUAAGCGUGUAGGUGUGUGUUCCAGGUAAAUCCGGUUCACUUUAACACUGAGGCGUGACGACGAGGCACUACGGUGCUGAAGCAACAAAUGCCCUGCUUCCAGGAAAAGCCUCUAAGCAUCAGGUAACAUCAAAUCGUACCCCAAACCGACACAGGUGGUCAGGUAGAGAAUACCAAGGCGCUUGAGAGAACUCGGGUGAAGGAACUAGGCAAAAUGGUGCCGUAACUUCGGGAGAAGGCACGCUGACACGUAGGUGAAGUGAUUUACUCAUGGAGCUGAAGUCAGUCGAAGAUACCAGCUGGCUGCAACUGUUUAUUAAAAACACAGCACUGUGCAAACACGAAAGUGGACGUAUACGGUGUGACGCCUGCCCGGUGCCGGAAGGUUAAUUGAUGGGGUCAGCGCAAGCGAAGCUCCUGAUCGAAGCCCCGGUAAACGGCGGCCGUAACUAUAACGGUCCUAAGGUAGCGAAAUUCCUUGUCGGGUAAGUUCCGACCUGCACGAAUGGCGUAAUGAUGGCCAGGCUGUCUCCACCCGAGACUCAGUGAAAUUGAACUCGCUGUGAAGAUGCAGUGUACCCGCGGCAAGACGGAAAGACCCCGUGAACCUUUACUAUAGCUUGACACUGAACAUUGAGCCUUGAUGUGUAGGAUAGGUGGGAGGCUUUGAAGUGUGGACGCCAGUCUGCAUGGAGCCGACCUUGAAAUACCACCCUUUAAUGUUUGAUGUUCUAACGUGGACCCGUUACCCGGGUUGCGGACAGUGUCUGGUGGGUAGUUUGACUGGGGCGGUCUCCUCCUAAAGAGUAACGGAGGAGCACGAAGGUUGGCUAAUCCUGGUCGGACAUCAGGAGGUUAGUGCAAUGGCAUAAGCCAGCUUGACUGCGAGCGUGACGGCGCGAGCAGGUGCGAAAGCAGGUCAUAGUGAUCCGGUGGUUCUGAAUGGAAGGGCCAUCGCUCAACGGAUAAAAGGUACUCCGGGGAUAACAGGCUGAUACCGCCCAAGAGUUCAUAUCGACGGCGGUGUUUGGCACCUCGAUGUCGGCUCAUCACAUCCUGGGGCUGAAGUAGGUCCCAAGGGUAUGGCUGUUCGCCAUUUAAAGUGGUACGCGAGCUGGGUUUAGAACGUCGUGAGACAGUUCGGUCCCUAUCUGCCGUGGGCGCUGGAGAACUGAGGGGGGCUGCUCCUAGUACGAGAGGACCGGAGUGGACGCAUCACUGGUGUUCGGGUUGUCAUGCCAAUGGCACUG